GGUGAACGCUGGCGGUAGGCCUAACACAUGCCAGUCGAACGGCAGCACAGUAAGAGCUUGCCCUUACGGGUGGCGAGUGGCGGACGGGUGAGGAAUACAUCGGAAUCUACUUUUUCGUGGGGGAUAACGUAGGGAAACUUACGCUAAUACCGCAUACGACCUACGGGUGAAAGCAGGGGAUCUUCGGACCUUGCGCGAUUGAAUGAGCCGAUGUCGGAUUAGCUAGUUGGCGGGGUAAAGGCCCACCAAGGCGACGAUCCGUAGCUGGUCUGAGAGGAUGAUCAGCCACACUGGAACUGAGACACGGUCCAGACUCCUACGGGAGGCAGCAGUGGGGAAUAUUGGACAAUGGGCGCAAGCCUGAUCCAGCCAUACCGCGUGGGUGAAGAAGGCCUUCGGGUUGUAAAGCCCUUUUGUUGGGAAAGAAAAGCAGCAGGUUAAUACCCCGCUGUUCUGACGGUACCCAAAGAAUAAGCACCGGCUAACUUCGUG
Molecule: ribosomal RNA, 492 nt
Filed under: uncultured bacterium
Lineage: Bacteria
Description: partial 16S ribosomal RNA
Rfam family: Bacterial small subunit ribosomal RNA
Source: RNAcentral